Molecule: ribosomal RNA, 455 nt
Filed under: uncultured bacterium
Lineage: Bacteria
Description: bacterial SSU rRNA
Rfam family: Bacterial small subunit ribosomal RNA
Source: RNAcentral
UACGGGAGGCAGCAGUGGGGAAUAUUGCACAAUGGGCGCAAGCCUGAUGCAGCCAUGCCGCGUGUAUGAAGAAGGCCUUCGGGUUGUAAAGUACUUUCAGUCGUGAGGAAGGUGUUAAGGUUAAUAACCUUAGCAAUUGACGUUAGCGACAGAAGAAGCACCGGCUAACUCCGUGCCAGCAGCCGCGGUAAUACGGAGGGUGCGAGCGUUAAUCGGAAUUACUGGGCGUAAAGGGCACGCAGGCGGUUAAUUAAGUUGGAUGUGAAAUCCCCUGGCUUAACCUGGGAAUGGCAUUCAAGACUGGUUAGCUAGAGUCUUGUAGAGGGGGUAGAAUUCCAUGUGUAGCGGUGAAAUGCGUAGAGAUGUGGAGGAAUACCGGUGGCGAAGGCGGCCCCCUGGGACAAAGACUGACGCUCAUGUGCGAAAGCGUGGGGAGCAAACAGGGAUUAGAUACC